Molecule: non-coding RNA, 57 nt
Organism: Marinobacter sp. T13-3
Lineage: Bacteria; Pseudomonadati; Pseudomonadota; Gammaproteobacteria; Pseudomonadales; Marinobacteraceae
Source: Rfam
UGCGGGGUGGAGCAGUCUGGUAGCUCGUCGGGCUCAUAACCCGAAGGUCGUUGGUUC